RNAcentral lists this ribosomal RNA (468 nucleotides) under Myospila lauta. RNAcentral's name for it is "partial 16S ribosomal RNA". The stretch from base 343 to 468 matches the Rfam family "Bacterial large subunit ribosomal RNA", at positions 2473 to 2598 of the family's 2925-position model. The record is from RNAcentral. Lineage: Eukaryota; Metazoa; Arthropoda; Insecta; Diptera; Muscidae.
UUUAAAUGGCCGCAGUAUAUUAACUGUGCAAAGGUAGCAUAAUCAUUAGUCUUUUAAUUGAAGGCUGGUAUGAAUGGUUGGACGAAAUAUUAACUGUUUCAUAAAAAUUUAAAUUAGAAUUUUAUUUUUUAGUUAAAAAGCUAAAAUGAUAUUAAAAGACGAGAAGACCCUAUAAAUCUUUAUACUUAUAUUAUUAUUAUUUUUUAGAUUAAUUUUAUUAUAAUAAUUUAUAGUAUUUUAUUGGGGUGAUAUUAAAAUUUAAAAAACUUUUAAUUUUUGAAAUUCAUUAAUUUAUGAAUUAUUGAUCCAUUAUUAUUGAUUAAAAAAUUAAGUUACUUUAGGGAUAACAGCGUAAUUUUUUUGGAGAGUUCAUAUCGAUAAAAAAGAUUGCGACCUCGAUGUUGGAUUAAGAGAUAAUUUUAGGUGUAGCCGCUUAAAUUUUGAGUCUGUUCGACUUUUAAAUUCUUA